RNAcentral lists this long non-coding RNA (4742 nucleotides) under Triticum aestivum (bread wheat). Its description in RNAcentral is "long non-coding RNA (TAES_LNC015637)". Lineage: Eukaryota; Viridiplantae; Streptophyta; Magnoliopsida; Poales; Poaceae. The record is from RNAcentral.
UUUUUUUUUCUCUUGUUAACGCGUUUUCACCCGGCACAGUGAAAAUCUACGUGGACACCGCCUGCGUUCGCUCCUUGCACGACUCUUAAAGGGUUUAAUUAGUGUUGAGUCAAGGGCUUGAUUAUUUUGCUAUGAUUUUGGAUGAAUAGAAAGAAGAAAAAGAAGAAAAAGAAUAAAAAGAAACAAAUAGUUCAUAUUGAUCUUAUUGAGAGUAAAGACUUCACAUAGAAAAGAGUAUGAUGAGUAAAAGUUGUUGGGAGUUGGCAAAUAUAGCUUUGGUCAUCGUUGCAAUUAAUAGGAAGUAAUAAGAAAAGAGAGGUUUCACAUAUAGAUACAUUAUCAUUGGCAUCUCUUAUGAUUGAGAGCACUUAUUAAAAUAUGACAUGCUAAAGAGUUGAGGUUGGACAAGGAAGACAACAUAAUGAAUUAUGUUUUCUUAUAUCUGAGAUAAAGUAUGUUGUCAUGGAUCCUCUAACAUGUUGAGCUUGCCUUUGCCCCUCAUGCUAGCCAAAUUCUCAGCACCAAGUAGAAAUACUACCUGUGCUUCCAAAUACCCUUAAACCAGUUUUCCCAUGAGAGUCCACUAUAUCUACCUAUGGAUUGAGUAAGAUUCUUUAAGUAAGUUGUCAUCAGUGCAAGGAAUAAAAAUUGCUCUCUAAAUAUGCAUGACUUAUUAGUGCAGAGAAAUAAGCUUUGUACGAACUUACGAACUUGUUGUGAAAGUAAUAAAAGCGACGGACUGCAUAAUAAAGAUCCACAUGCAAGGGGCAAUAUAAAGUGACGUUCUUUUGCAUUAAGAUUUUGUGCAUCAACCCUAAACGCGCAUGACAACCUCUACUUCCCUCUGCGAAGGGCCUAUCUUUUAUUACUACUAGAUGACCAGUUGCGCCAAAUGGCGCAGAGACCCGUUUAAAACAAUAUUCGUGUUGAAAAUAUUUGCAUUUUUUCAUUAACCGUAUAUUUGAGUACAUUUAGUAAGAACUUAUACACCUAUAUAUAAAAGAAAUUAAAUGCAAAUAUUUUCUUAUUAGGUAAUAAUGCCACAAAUUAGAUCAUCAAUAGAUAAAGAUAGUUGAGCCUGCAAUUAGGAACUUCGAGUAGCUGUAAACUUGCAUUAAAAAAAGAGUAAAUACAAGUGACACAAUAAAAUGUACAUGAACUCAUGAACAUUGUGUAAGAGAAGUUAAUAGAAAUAGUGGUCAAUUACAUCAUAUAAUUUGGUUCUAUACUCUUGUGUAUAUAUCCUGAAUGCUACUCCUUUGUGAUCAACUCUUUGUCCUUCAAAUCGAAUGGCAUAGCUACUGCCCCUUGCGGAAAAAGAAAGGGGGACUAUGUAAAUACCCAUAAAUGUAAACUUAUAAUUGCAAGAAAAAUGCCACAAGCACCAUAUAUAAGGAUAUAUUACAAAAUACAAUGCAGUUCAUAGGCUCAUUCUUCAAUUGACAUUCUGGAUAUCAAAUCAAAAUUAUGAGGUAUUGUUGUGAAUUUCAAAACUUCUAAACCAGGUGCUAGCCUCAGAACAUCCUUCAGUAUGUACCUACCACAAAUUAUAGUCAGAUUAAUAAAAUACAUAUCCCUUUUUAGAAGCGAAAAGAUACAACCAUCUAAAAUAGAGAAACUUGGCGGCACGCGGAAUAAAGAAGAUAUCGCUCAUGCUCGCUUGAGACAAGGAAUAUAGCUAAAGAGUUUUCCAAACCCUAAGAACGAACUACAAUAAACAGCCAAGAAAAAUCUAAUAUUCUACAUAUGCUAGACACAUGGAUGUUACUACAAAAAGGGAAGCCAUCAACAAGCAUAAGUAUCUCAUUUUUAGCUACCAAUAUUAGCAAAUAUUCUGUUAUGGGAAUCUAUUUAAUGGUAGAAACUCUGAAUGACGCAAAUAGUCAUUCUUCACAUCAUCAUCUUGCUGGUGACAAAAUAAACACUAUUGUUUCAUUAUAUCAUGACAAGCUAUAUCAAGCGCAUUGUCUCCUUUCACUAUGGCAAACAAUCUUACUAUCAAUGGACAUGUUCUGGGAAAAAAGUGUUUUUAGUUCUCACAAAUCUGCACAUAUUCUCGCAAACUGUAUCUAACAUGUGCAGGUUUUAGAGAACUAAACAAGCUUUGUACAGAAUAUGUGUAGUUCAAGGCUGUAUUUCAGAAAGUCUAACUGUGUCGAAAAAAAAAACUUGAAACCAACACUGUAAAAAAAGCGUGCCUAAGACUGUCAAAAAUUUGAACCUAGUCCAAGCACUUCCUAAAAUACCUUGUUAUGUUCUCCAUGAGUGCACUCAUUAAUCUGUCAGUUGGUGUCAUAAAGAGCAUCUGCGAGACACUUUUUACUGUGCAGCAGCUAGUGCUAUGUAAAAAGGGGUGGAAUCAUCAGGUGAAGAUAGAUCUCUCCUCAUUCAGUUGGUAGUGCACUUCCAUAAAGUUUAUUAGUAGAGAUAUUACAGUUUUUGAUGAUAACAUUCUUAUAUAUAAAACAAAGCCAAUGCCCAAGUACUGAUUUAUGAGUGUGAAACCACAACACAUGUGAGCGAGCAUGCUGUCUUUAUCAACGAGUAGUUCUAUUUUCUCACCACAAUCUAGUACCUGAUGCACCACUGGUUAGAUUAAAUACUGUUAGGGGGAAAACAUACUGAAGCUUCAGACAUAUCCCCAUAGAUAUAGUAUCAGACGAUCUAGGUUUUUUUUACGGGCAGUCACAGACCGAGUUGACGAGCACUCCGCUGCCGCGUGGACCAAUGAUUUUAUGGGCCCAAUGGCAGCCACCCGGUAAAGCAGUCAAAGUUGUAAUAAAAGGCGAAGUGAAUAGUAAAAAUCAAGGGUGAAAAACGAUCAAAGAAGCUAAUCGAACAGCCAGCGAUCGUGCACACGCGAAGGCCCCCAGAACGGCGGGUUGCCCACCAGCGUUUAUAUGUUCGAUGAAACUCAUGGAUUCCGUAACUACAGGUUUACGAAUAACAAAAUCAAUGAAGAAGCUUAUUGUAUAAGCCUACUAAAUUUGCCAACAGUAUGUAACCAAAAGUAGUUAUCUGCACAAAACAGGGAUGCAUACUUUCUCCAGGUCUAGUUUUCACAAAUAAGUUCCUACUGGAUACAGCUACUAACUGAAGUAAAAUCAAGCAUGUAUGCGCUCUGACUAUCACAACUUCCAGUAAACUAAGUAACUAACUAUAUUGAGCAAAAUGUAUAAUGCUCCACAUUAGGUAGGGAGAUGAACACAAGUAGCAGAGUAUAUGCACCUUGAACAUGUUGAUGUUUGCUUUGGUCUCCCCCUCAAGGCCAGCCCACAAAAAGAAGCAAUAAACCUCUGUGCCUCCUCCAUGUCAAUAUGAACCGGCCCUAUAAGGCAGAGAUUUACGUAAACUGAAAGAAUGAACAUCAUUAAACUGUCUUCAGGAGUAAAAGCAUAUAUAUAUAAACUGAGCUGAUCUGCAGGCCCUAUAAGAACUAACGGGAAUGACACGAGAACAAUAUGGUAUAGAAACAGAAGACCUGGGCAAGAACCAAGUAAUGGAAAAAUUACAAACCUAUAUUAUACAUACUAUUACAGUUCGAUAUGAAAAGAUUCUCAAGAGAAAUGUGUAAACUAAAAUACUAAAAAGAAUCAUAGCCAAUUCAAAAAUGGCUGCAUACACAUAUACAGAUUUUCAGGAGAAAUGUGUAAACUAAAACACCUAACCAAUAUUUGAAUCGUGUAUAUGCAAAGCACAUUGCUAGCACGACCCACCAUGCAAACGAUCAUCAUAAAUACUUGUGAAUCUGUUUCAGACCAUACCAACACAACUGGAUAGCAAGAUGAUCAGGGUAAACAAAUUACCUACGGAACCAUGUAUGCUUGUGCACCUAAUCAAACAUCUCUCUAAAAUAGAUCAGUGAAGAUAAUUUGCUCACAGAAUCAUAUAUGCUUAUGCAACUAAUGAAGCAUCUAUAUUAAAUAGCCAUUGAAAAUACAUCUUUAAAGAACAAAGCAGAGAAAGUAAUUUCUUCGCAAAUCGUGUAUGCAUGUCUGUGGAACUAAUUAAUCAUCUCUAUAAAUAGUUACAAAAAAUUAGUCCCAAAAGAUCAACACUGGAGCACACACAAGAGACAUUAGUUCACAUCAAAAUACAUAUUCCAAGGCAUCAGCAAUACAACCCACCUGAAGUUUAGAGGCAGUAUCCAUGACAAAAGCAGACAAGAUCGACAAGAACACCAAAUUCAUAAUUACAGCUAGAACAGUCCAUCGUAAUGUGAAUAACACGCAUAGGUCAGUCAUAAAAAGAGUACUCCACUUUUUACUACCACUAUGGGCUAGCUCUGCUGUCCAAAUGGAAAAUUUGAACCGUCCAUACCACAGAAUGAUUUGAGAAAUCAAACCAUGCAAUACAUAAUCAUUCGAUUGCUAGGGAACAAUUUCUGAGAAGUCCAGAUAAAAGUUAUUGACAGCUAUACCUGAAUACAUCAGUUAAGCCUAUCAGUGUUAUCAGUACAACACAGUUAGUGGCAGCAAGAUAAUCAAGAUAAUUAGAAGUUUCUUCCAUAAUGUUAAUAACUGCCAAGCACUGAUGUAUAUCUCCAUGUAAUCACAUAAUUCUGAUGGUAAGUGUAGCGUGAGAAAUGAACAUGUCAAGCAAGGCUAGUGACAAGAAAGUGGAUCCAGUAGUAACUUACUUCUCACACUCCGCAAGCCCAUAAACCAACUUGAAGAGGGGUGUCCAUCUUCUAUCAGACUGACACACAUAACUGAACGAGAACCAGUUUUUCCACAAGCAAG